RNAcentral lists this ribosomal RNA (301 nucleotides) under uncultured bacterium. Its description in RNAcentral is "partial 16S ribosomal RNA". It matches the Rfam family "Bacterial small subunit ribosomal RNA", at positions 509 to 807 of the family's 1533-position model. The record is from RNAcentral.
CAGUCGCCGCGGUAACACAGAGGGUGCGAGCGUUAAUCGGAUUUACUGGGCGUAAAGCGUGCGUAGGCGGCUUUUUAAGUCGGAUGUGAAAUCCCUGAGCUUAACUUAGGAAUUGCAUUCGAUACUGGGAAGCUAGAGUAUGGGAGAGGAUGGUAGAAUUCCAGGUGUAGCGGUGAAAUGCGUAGAGAUCUGGAGGAAUACCGAUGGCGAAGGCAGCCAUCUGGCCUAAUACUGACGCUGAGGUACGAAAGCAUGGGGAGCAAACAGGAUUAGAUACCCCAGUAGUCCCUGUCUCUUAUAC